RNA transcript from Diorhabda carinulata, 9410 nucleotides. It is a transcript of the gene named regulating synaptic membrane exocytosis protein 2, with no coding region annotated. The transcript is spliced from 19 exons. Lineage: Eukaryota; Metazoa; Arthropoda; Insecta; Coleoptera; Chrysomelidae. The record is from RefSeq and is a predicted model, not a curated record.
AUUUAUGAAAAGUGUAUGAAUGGGUAAUAGCAGCCGCGGUACUCGGGCUCGAAAUCCUAAUAACAACUAAAACAUUUUUGCUUUCCGUGGAGGGAAAUUGCGGAUAUCGUCCCCGAAAUACCGUUUUUGGGGUUCGGACUGCGUGAAAUGACGGUGUGUUUUGUGGUACAAGUUGUUAGGGCGCUAGCCAAGGGGUAGUUUCUCGGUGAUGGGUGAUGUCUGAAAGAGACCAGCAUGGAGAAUACGGGGCCCGACCUGUCUCAUCUUACUCCGGAAGAACGGGCCAUCAUCGAAUCGGUUAUGAUGAGGCAAAAACAGGAAGAGGAAAGGGAACAAGAAAUUCUGAGAAGAAAAGCGGACGAGGUCCAUAUCUUGGAAGAGACAAUUCGCGCCCGUAACGAAGAACAUAAAAAGGCGGGGGUCGAACUAGAGGCCACAUGCCACAUAUGUCUCAAAACUAAGUUUGCUGACGGGGUGGGACACAUUUGUAACUAUUGUUCUAUCAGAUGUUGCGCUAGAUGCGGUGGAAAAGUUACGCUUAGAUCAAAUAAGGUGGUUUGGAUUUGUAUCCUGUGUCGAAAAAAGCAGGAGCUGUUGAGUAAAACGGGGCAGUGGAUGUUUGGAGGUCCAAACGCCGAAACGGACUUACCGCAAUUACAACAAGCGCCGUCUGAUAAAAGGCCCAAAUUAGAAAGAGCGCACUCUGCGGCAGAAAAAGAAAAUCAACCUCUUCAAAGAUCGGGUAGCGUAUUGAGGAGACAAUAUUCAGAACAAGAGCCCAGGGCGCCGUCUUGCGAAAGGUACCAACAAUAUAACGAAGAGGACCCUAGGUUUUAUAAAGGAGAGCUGGAAGGACUGAUGAGGACACAUCCGCAUCUGGUACCAAGGAGGUAUCCAGAGCCUGAAUCAGAACCCGUUCAAAUGGACCAUUCUCAACAGAGGGUUCAAUCUAUAGCGAGCGGUACCAAGAAACAUAAGAGAAGCGGUUCAUCGAAAAAACAUCAACAACUCCCCCCACCCCAAGUACAACUUCAUACUUAUUCUAGUUCAGAAGAAGAUUUGAAAUCGACUCCUGAGUACGGAAGCGAUGAACGCGACAGCGAAAAGGGUAAUAUUGGCAACUGGCCCCCCUUAAGCCAUUAUAUAGUUGCACCAGUACACCAACACAGACCUCUACAAGAUGUAACUGCGGAUAAUAGAUGUUUCACAGAAAGAAGAAAGAAAACUGUUCGUUUUGAUCAUCACGAUAGUAGUCGACAAGGUUCACAAGAUUCUCACAGGGAUUCUGGUAUCGAUACAUCUUCCACAUUCACUAGUAGCGAGGAUUCGACCAGGGGGGACAUGCCCAAGCAUCCAUUAUCUUGGCAAGUUUCUGCUGAUGGUACUAAAAUUAUCGGUCACAUGAUUUUGAGAAGAAAUUCUAGAGAUACGUCCGGCUCUAGUGCCACCAUAUUAGGUUUGAAAAUUGUUGGUGGAAAAUUAUUAGAAAACGGACUAACAGGAGCUAUAAUAGAAAAAGUUAAGAAAGGUAGUAUAGCUGAUGUGGAAGGACAACUUAGACCCGGCGAUGAGGUCAUCGAAUGGAAUGGUAGAUCGUUGCAGGGGAAAACGUUUAAUGAAGUGGCUGAAAUAAUAGCGGAAAGUAGACAAGAAGCUAAUGUAGAAUUGAUAGUUUCUAGGAGUAUGAGCAGCAGGAAGGUUGCGCAAGCCAAUUGGAGACAGUCAGUGGCUCAGAGAGGUCAGCAGACGUCUGUCGGUGGCCUUCAUCAGUGGCACCCUGAAUCGGAAAUAUACGAGCGUCCCCACGUGCUGGUGACGUCACCCGGCAGUCCGGAGCGUAGCCAAGAUACAUCUCGGCAGGCGCUGGCACCGAGCAUUGGGGGUCGGAUCCAAGUUAGAGUGGAGUUCGACCCCUCCGCGUUGCAGUUGUUAGUCACCAUCGUCUGCGCCGCUGGUCUAACUCCUAGAUCGCCUCAACAACCAAGAAAUCCCUAUUGUAAGUUGUUUUUGUUGCCGGACCGAUCGGAGAAAAGUAAAAAGAGAACGAGGACUUUAGCGGGAACGACGGAGCCUAUGUGGAAUCAGACAUUCGUAUACUCGGGAUUGAGGAGGGCGGAUCUUAGACUACGGGCUUUGGAAAUAACUGUAUGGGAUUACGUUAGAUAUGGAGCUAAUGAUUUUUUAGGAGAAGCAAUAGUUGAGUUGUGGCCUUUGGAAGAUCAGCCUACCUGGAGGACUUUAGGUCCGCAUGAAGAAAUUGUUUUGACGCCUAGCGAACAUCUGUCUCCACCUAGUACGGGGUCCAGGUUUUCCGAUAGCGAUACACCAUCGGAGUGCGAUAUUGAAGGGGGAAGAGACCGACGAAACGCGGAUGGAGCUAGCGUGAGUAGCGUAGGUAGUUCUUCGAGUCCGCCGAGAGAAAGUGAAAGGAGAUCACGAAGAGAUCAAGAAACCAUGCAAGCAUAUCAUACGUAUAACAGCAGUAAGUCCGGAAUUAUAAGUCAUCGAUCACAUUCGGCGGCACCGUGCGAUUCCCCAAGUGUCCAUUUAUCAAGAUCCCGUUCAAAAUCACCACGACGUUCGGCUACCGAUCACCGAUCACUAUCACCACCGGACGUCCGCCUUACCGAAUACACACCAACGACGUACAAAAUGUCGCGUUUUCAAUCUCGAAGCGCUACAGCGACACCUACCGGUUCGCCGAAAAAACGUCAACUUCCUCAAGUUCCGCAAGCACUGGCUCGAGCUUUACAAGAAAGAGUCGCUCAGGAUUUGGAAGGAACGAGCAUCAGUACGAAGAAUAGGACAAGGUUUAUCCAAACGUACAGAAGUACUGGAUCUGGUUGGGAAAGAAGAUAUAGUGGUUUAAGUGAUAGCGACUUGGCGAACCAUUCAAGAUAUAAUACUAGAAGAUCGUUUUCUCCCGAAAAAGAGCGAGAGAGGGAUCCUUUAGGGCUAGUGGAUUUCGAUAGUGAUAUGGAAAGUGUGGCAUCAGUAACUAGCAGCGCUUUUUCAACACAGUCAGAAAGACCUCGAGGAACAAGAGGAUUGGGCACUGAAUACGGCUAUAGGACGAUGAAUUCGAGAAGUACUAGAGACAGAGACCAUGAGCCCAGGGAACCCAUAGAGCCUCUCGAUCCGCACCAUAACUAUCAUUUGAGCAACAAUCUUCACCAUCAUCACCACCACCAUCGUCAUCAUAGAGAUGGUAGCGUCAAAAGGGGGCAGUUCACCAGGAGUUUAUCGAAUACGGAACCGCCUAUGGAAGAAAAAACCGAUGGCAGUUUAAGCGAUACCGCCGUCAGCCACCUUCACGGUCUUGAAGUCCCCCAAAAAGACAUGAAUCGAAAAGACAGUCCUCGUGACAGAGACAGGGAUAGGACGGGUCAAUUUGUUGGUCUUAAUAAAAAGAGUAAUUCGACUAGCCAAUUAUCAGCAACAGGUCGAAAAAGAAGAAUGGGCUUCGGAAAACGAGGAAAAACUUCGUUUACUGUACUUAGAUCCGAAGAAGUUUUACCUGGUGAUGUGAGAUUAGCGAAGCAAGGAUCUUCUGCUUCGAGCGAUGGUGAAGGAUCAGCUGACGGUGACAGGUGGUCGCCUUCGUUGCGCUUAACAGCAGCCGGAGAAGGGCAACUGGCUGAAUUUAUAGAAGGUCUCGGUCCUGGACAGUUAGUUGGAAGACAAGUUUUAGGAUCACCUUCGUUAGGAGAUAUUCAAUUAGCCCUUUGUCAUCAAAAAGGCUUUCUGGAAGUAGAAGUUGUUAGAGCAAGAGAUCUUCAAGCCAGACCAGGUUCGAAGGUUCUACCAGCUCCUUAUGUGAAAGUAUACUUAGUUAACGGUAAAAAAUGUAUAGCGAAAGCGAAAACAACUACUGCAAGGAGAACCUUAGAUCCUUGGUACCAACAACAGUUAGCUUUUAAGGAAAAUACUCAAGGCUGUAUAUUGCAAGUGACGGUAUGGGGUGACUACGGUAGAUUAGAAGGAAAGAAAAUCUUCAUGGGUGUGGCCCAAAUAAUGCUCGACGACUUAAAUUUGAAAAAUAUCGUCGAAGGCUGGUACAAAUUAUUCGGAACGACUUCCCUGGUUAGUGGCGCACCCUCUAUUGGUCUAUCUAGUCGCGGAUCUUCGGCUAGUCUUGAUUCUAUCAAAUUAUAACCUAAAUUACACCCUUCGUCACUCAUUACCACAUGAGUGAAAACACGUUAUUUUGUUUUUUUGCUCGUUUCCACUACUAACCUUUAGCACCUUUUUCAUGUCAUUUAAUCACAAAAGUUUUCACCGAUGGUAUCCUCCACAACAUGAAUAGUGAGAAGAAUCAUCCUUCAUUUUUUAUAUAGAUAAGGAUUAACAUUUUUUCAAAAGUGCUUAAAAGACGCUAUGAAUUAAACACCUUUACACGCUACUUUGUGAGUAAACAAAACUGAAAAAAAUAUGAAAGAAAACGUAGUGUAGAAAAAAGCCGAAAUAGAUCCAGAUUAGUGUAACCGAAAUGAACAGUGUAGAUACGCGCACAGCUCUAAUAUAAUAGUGUCAAAUAGUGUCACAGGAAAUCAUAACUAAGUAUGAAUUAUAUACCCAGAUUGUCCAGAAAAUACACAAGAUUAAAUCUUCAAUUAUCAAGAUAUAUUCACUAUUUUUAUGCUAUAUAACAAAGAAAUACUCUGAUUAUUGUCUUUACAAACUUUCUAUUCUCAACUAGACUGCCAUAUUUCAAUUUCAAGUCUAUUUUUCGAAGAAAACUAGUAAACUAAAACAUUUUCACGCAUAGAGCACGUGAUCAGGGUUUAAACGUCAGGACCGCACUUCGCACUUAAGAAAUAAUUUACUGAUUAAUAAUUCUUCUUCUUACGACGCUGAUUCGCUUCGGAAGUUUGCGAUACAAAUGGCUAUUGUCGCACGAGAAACCGCAGCUCUGAAAGAAAAUUUCUGUCCGAGUCAUCUGCGCCUUGAUUGUCGUGUGUAUUUAUCCAUUUGCUGUAGGAUCUCUUUGUUUGUCUUAUGUUUCGUCCAAGAUAUCCGCAGCAAUCGUACAUUUCGAACGCAUCAAUUUUCAUCUUUGUUGCCGCAUCCAAGGUCCAACCAAUUCGCAUCAGUCCAGAAGAAGCUUUCUGGUCCGGAGCUCCAAGCUGAGGUUGCGAUUUGCUAAAAGUGUCCUCAUGUUGUUCAAAGUUUUCCGCGCUUGCUCGAUUCUUGAUCUGAUUUCGAGUUUUUUCGUCGCGUUGGUAUCUUAGAGAUGACACUUGUUCAAUGAACUAACUCUCCAUGGAGUCUUAGCGUGUCGUUUCUUUGUAGUUUUGAGAAUACCAUCUAUAAAUAAUCAUAUACAAUUAUUAUUACAAAAAUAUUAAAUAUAAACGUCUAUAUCUGCAUUUGCAUACCAGUGACAAUUUUGAUUUUGGCUUCGAACUUUUCCUGGACAUGCUCAAUAUAGUUUUUUCCCAAAUCAAGUGUAAUUCUCUAAUGGCUUCAGGAAAAAUUUGAGUGUAGUCACUUUAAGAAGAUACUACCAAAAACUUUGUCUUUUUAGAAGCAACUUCAACAGUCUUGUCAUCAUUUUUCACAUUUCACAGGAGGAGUAUAGCUAAUGACAACAAUUUCAUCAUCUUAUCUAACGGUUUCUUCAGAGAUACGGCGCUCGCCUCUGCCGCGCGGUUUUUCAUUGGUGGUUUAUUAUGUUUGAACCAAUAACGACCCGUAUUUCGCCCGGGAUGUUCUCGUGCUGAUCACAUACUGAUCAUUGUGUUGGUUUACUAUUUUUCUCCGAUAAAUAGAUUUUAGCUGUGAAAUUGAAAUGUUUUUCGACCUUUUAGUGGUACUAUUACCAAAAUAUUUAAUAAUCAACGCAUCUUAACGUUAAAUUCAUAGUAGUUUUCAAUUUUAUACUAAAUUUGAGUGAAAACUGUUGUUACUAUGCUAGAUUAUUUAUUUUUUCCCUUGUAACUUAUCGUUUAUCUAUAUAAAUACGCAGUUAUUUAAUAUUCUCUUUGGAAUUUAUGUAUUAAAGCAGUUUCUGGUCUAUAAUUGUCCUGAUCUAGUUAUGAGUGAAAGGACCCUGCAAGACGUAAACCAAAAACACACAUGCAGCCAAAGACCGAAACUUAUGAGUAUUUCUUCAUGUAAAUUUCUUAUUUCUUGGACCUUUUGAUGUAUUAAUGCUUCUAAAUGUUUGGAUUUUGACAUUUCGUCUUUCUUUAAAGAAAUAUUAAAAAAAAACUAAUUUGUAAACGGAAGAAACCUAAAAGCAACAACAUUUAGAUUUAUUUAUAUGUAUAUAGCAUCUAACUUGGUCGUAUUGGAUUAAUUAAUGAUAUUAAUAGAAUCAAUAUCUAUGAUAAAAUCAGUUCAACGAAAUAGUAUUAAGUUCAAAAAUAUAAAAGAUCCUGUUGAUCUUAUUAUCGCCAAAGUUUAUCAGUAUUAGCAGUCUUUUUCGAAAAUUAUAAGCAUAAUUUUUCAAAAAAAAAAAAAUUAAAUUAUUCUGGACAAUCUGUAAACGUUUGAAGCGACCAAAUAAGAACAAUCUGAUAGUUUCUGAUCUGAAAUUUUUGUAUUAAAACAUUUAGUGAAAGUAACACAUUUUUCAAAAUUUUAUGGUAUGUACAAUGUACACGUUUUGAGAGUAUCAUUUUGACUUUAUUUUCAAAAAGUGAAGUAUCAAGCUGACAUGUAGACAUUUUAUAUGAUUAUUAGUAAUUCAGUAUUCAUAAUUGAAAACUACAUUCAUGUAGCCAAUGUUUUUAGUCUUACUUUUCGUUAUUUUGUGUUAUUUUGAAAAAAACCAUCACACAAUUUUUGUUCAUAACUUUAUUAAUAGUGUGUAAUAUUUUGUACUUUCUUUGGCGGAUUUUAAAUUAUUCAAAGGCAAAAAAUAGCCGGUUGAGUGAAAAUUGGCAAACAAUUUCUCAAUAAGAUGCAUUUGGAGAGAAAAACUGAAAAAGGGUUAGCGCAGGACAAAAAAAUUUUUCAUUUCUUUAUUAUAAUUUGAAUACCGAAACUUUGAACUCAAAACUUUCUCAAGAGAUUGAAAGUUUAUUAAAUUUUCUACAAAAAAUAUCUGUUGCACUUUUUGCGUACAAUUAGUCUUUUUCUCACAAAAAGAGAUUGAAACCCGGGAUGUAAAGUUUCCAAACUUUGUUUAGUUGAAAAUCAACAAGUGUGUCAUGUUUCUGGAAAAUCUGGAAGAACAAAAAAAUUUCAAAUUGAGCAACAAAACAAAACGUAUUUUUGGUGAUGCCCAAUUAGACCGAGAGCUUGAAAUUUACAAAAAUCUUUAUUUUCACGUCAUCUACUUACUACGGAAUUUUUCGCAUCAAAUCCCAGAACACCCUGUGUGCUGUUAAUAGACAAAUAUCAUCCUCGAUUUCAAAUCCUCCAGUUCUCAAACAGGCUCCAGAUUAUCUGCUGAUUAUCCAAUCUAUCACAGUAUUAAACAGAUAGUCCGUACUCUUUCAAUAUUUUUCUCUAUUGAUCGAGUCAAUUGCUUUUUUAAAGUCUAUAAAAUUUAACCAGAUAUCUUUAUUCUGCUCUUUCGUUUGUUUCAAUAUUAAUUAACCAGUACUGCGGUGGAUUUCCGAAAAAAAUCGAUUGGAAAAUGAACUGGAGGUCUCGACAGGCAAAACAGAUUUUGGUGAAGUUAUUAAAAAGCCUGUUUUCAAUCGCGAUUUAUUAGAAAAGGACUAAUUAUACGCGAAAAGGAUAAAACUUCUUUUUUGUAGGAAAUUUAAUAAACUUUUAUUCGGUAUGAAAAAUUUCGUCCUGUAUUCAAAUUAUAAUAAAAAAAAUCAAUUUUUAAUUUUAAAUUCAAACUUCAGGCAGCAAUUUUUGGUCGAAUAAUUUAUGCCAAACUUGAAACUGUUUUCACCCCAAAAUCUCGAUCUACUGUACUUAAUAAUGUCGAAUAUCGUGGUGGACUGUUUUCUUUGGCCCCCCUAUUUAAUUAAUUUAUUAUUAAUGUCUGUAAUAAGACUGAAUACUUUUGAAUAUUAUUGAAAAAUUAAUACAAAAAUUUCAUACGAAUCAUCACAGUCGCUUUAUUUAAAAAAAAAAAUGCUUCAUUGGAAUUGAACUCGCUUUAUUACUUGGAACAUAUACGAGGACUUAAGGUAAUGUUGAUGAUUAUGUAAAAUAUAUAUUUAACAAAAUGACAUAGAAUUGUAUAUGAAACCUUUAAUGUAACAUAUAGAUAUACUUAAAUUGUUGAACUGCAUGUGAUAAUAAUAUUAUGUUGGCUGUUCGAAUUCCCCAAGCUUAUAAAGAAAAAUAAAAAAAAAUAUCCUCCGAUCCAGAAAAAAAAAUAAGUAAUGUUAAUCAUAUUAUUUUUAAUAAGAAGACAUUAUACGCGCCCGAACGAAUCACAAAUAAGCUCGAAAUUUUAGAUAAAACGAGCGAUUUUAUUCUGACGGGAAAUUUAGUUGUUCAAAAUAACAUUUUCGUUGAACAAAUUCGUACAAAUCAAUAAGAAAAAGUUAAUAACAAAGGCAAUUCGAUUUGCGUUUCAGACAUCAUUACCUCCAGCUCAGUUAAGAGUCGAUUAUAUUAACCGGCGAGCUUACACAAAUAAUAAGCUUACCUGGAAAACGCUUUUAGAUACUAAUAAUAAUAAUAAUAAUAAUAAUAAUUGAAAUCAGCAGUUAUUUUAUAAUAUAAACUGUUCAAUUAGUUACGAAAAGAACUUUCACACAGAUUAAUUUGUGUCUUGUAGUGCGAAACAUUGUUAUUAAUAAACUUUUGACGGUAUUCAUCACGAAAAACCAUAAAUGGAAGAACAAAUUUCCGUCCAGGUCAUGUUCUAUUGAACAUUUUAAAAAGGUAAUGUCGACGAGAUAUACAAUAAAGAGGUGUAGCUAUUAAGUAAAAAGACUAGUAAGCAUGUCCAAAAGGUUAACGACUGUCAUCUCCUAAAGCCUACUCUUUCGAAUGCGAUGUCUGCUGUGACUGUAGUCAAACCAGUGUAGCCGUUGCCUUCGUUUGUAUACACGCAGUCGUUUUGUGCAACGGGUUGUCAUGAAAUUUCACAAGACACUUGAAAAAACUGCUACUGCAACUUAUAUUACAGUAUGGCGAUGAAUUCUUGUUCAAAAUGACAAUGAAGAUGAUACACAAAGAAAAUAAUGACAAAUAAUGUGUGGCGGCAAAUUCUACAUGACAAUUUUAACAUGCGACAACUGUGUGUGAAAUUAAUGCCUCAUUUCGCACUGUCCGUUAAGUGGUUUCAGCAAAGUACAACAUACCAAUUUUAGUUCACCACCUUAUCGCCGGAUCUGGCACCGUGCGACUUUUACCCCGUUUCUAAGAUCAAAUCUUCAUUCAAACGUAAAAUAAUUGAGCCUGUUGAAGCAGUGAUUGACAGGAAGACUUCCUGCACUGUUUCGAGCAAUAAAAAAUUCACAUGGAGUGGUGUUGGGAAAAGAAAA